AACUUGUUCAUUUUUGCAUCAGUUUAUCAUGGUAAGUGUGGACAUUUCCCAAUUCAAACAGUUUUAAACCUUAUUUUUUACAGUUUAUUAUUACAUUAUUGUGUUUACAGAGUGUCGUGGAGAGUGUCCAAUUUGAAGGAAGAUCAGUAACAAUACAAUGCAAAUUUAAAACAGCUUCACCGCAGCCUGAACUUUUCUGGUACAUCCAGAGAGCAAAUGUCUUUCCUAAAUAUAUCCUGAGGAGAAACAAAUAUGGAGCAGAAGAUAAUGAUCUUCAGUUUCAGGAGAGAUUUCGCUCUAAAGUGUCGUCAGAUUCAGUUCCUCUGACAAUCAAGAACCUGUGUGUGUCUGACUCUGCUGUGUAUUACUGUGCUCUGAAGCCCACUGUGACUCAAACACACUCAACACUCACACAAAAACAGAGGAAGUGCUCAGUUAUAUGAAAAGAUGUGAAUCCACAUGAUAUUGACUUCUGUCCCAUGACAAUAACAUGCAUACUGUAUAAUUUAACUGUGUAAAGUGCAUAUCAUCCACUCAUCACUAUGUUUCAGUUUUACAUAUAGUCUAUGUGCUAAAAUUAUCUUUAAUCUGCAUAUUAUUUUUUUUAACCUGAAUGAGCAGAUCUAACAUUUAUUAUACUAAAUAUACUGUUUGGUUUUAAAAUGUGUGUAUAUAAUAUGAGUGUUUUUUUUGUUUUUUUUUGGCAUCAAACUUACAGAGGAUGAAAGAGGAGGAGUUUAACAUCUCAGAUGAUCUUGUUAGUUUUGCUAGACUGUCACAAAGCUCAGUCCUGCUGCAGUGAACACACACAUGUACAAUGAUACUUCAUUCAGUCAUUCUGAUCUCUGCCUUGGCAUGUGUGAGUUUUGGAGAUGAAAUCACACCAGACAGCACUGAAGAGUCUGCUGCAGAGGGUUCAACUCUUACAUUAUCCUGCAGUUAUUCAUCUGCAGAUUCACUUCUCUGGUACCGUCAGUAUCCUGGAUCAGCUCCUCAAUAUCUUGUGCUUAAAAUAGAGAGUGUGAAAGAGUCUGCAACAUCUGAGGUAGAUUUCAGGAUCUCUACUCAGACCAGAAAAGAAAAACAAGCCACAAAAGAGAUCAAACAUGUGGAUCUGAUCAUCUCCUCUGCUGCAGUAUCAGACUCUGCUCUGUAUUACUGUGCUCUGACGCCCACAGUCACAGGAAACACAAGAUCACUGUACAAAAACCUGACACAGCUGAAGGUGUACAAAUAAUUUCCUUCCAUAAAUCCAUCUGAAUUAAAGGUAGAUUAUGAUUCAUGAUUUCACACUAUAUAACUACCCUGACAACAGCAUAAUGUCGGCCCAGAUCCAGACUAUCUGGUCCAUGUGUAAUCCACAUGUUUCAGAUGUGGGCCGGAUCUGGGUAUAUGAGGGUGAAAGCUAUCAGCAGUGGCAUGAUAGAUUGAUUUUUUUUUUUUUAAAUGAACUUAAUUGACACAAUACGUACACGGUGUACUCUUAUGUUCUGAAAAACACUGACUAAAUGUUGUUUUAAAUACAAUUUAAUUUGCUUUUUGUGU
Molecule: non-coding RNA, 1545 nt
Organism: Megalobrama amblycephala (Wuchang bream)
Lineage: Eukaryota; Metazoa; Chordata; Actinopteri; Cypriniformes; Xenocyprididae
Source: the annotation of a RefSeq genome assembly